Molecule: long non-coding RNA, 1295 nt
Filed under: Parus major (Great Tit)
Lineage: Eukaryota; Metazoa; Chordata; Aves; Passeriformes; Paridae
Description: lncRNA (ENSPMJG00000005553.1)
Source: RNAcentral
GUUCUGAUGCAAUUUCAUGUUGAAUUGAGUAUGCUAUAGUGAAAUGUAAAUACUCCUUUAAUAUUUAUAACAAUUCCUGUGAUUAUUCAUUGCAUUUUUGGAUGAAACUUACGUUUAACUCUGUAGAAGCAGCAUUCUCUAAUGGAGAACUAUCCCAUGGGGAAAUUUCUAGAGAGCUCAACUGAUUAUGGAAUAUUGAGCUGUAGUAAUUAAUUUCCUUGUCUUUCCCCUCAUUUGUCCUUUAGAUGUAGGAAUUCAAAGCUAAUUCAGCCACCACUUUCUUGGUGGUUCCAGUGAAUACAGCUGUUGCUGGUUUGGACAGCUGUGGAGGGGACUAAUAGCUGAAUGAUGAUCUUCUGUAUGAGCUGGUUUUAUGUUCCUUUGAAGCUAUAUUAAAAGACAAUAGUAGAACUUCAAUAAUUUCCUCGCAAGCCCAACUAAUGAUCAUCAAAGAAGUAAAGAUGCCCCAAGAAACAAGACUCGUUGUCCUAUGUCUGCUUAAUGAGAAAUCGUAAUCCAUCUGGUUAUAAAACCUCAGCAGAAUACCAUACAAUGUAUCUCUUGGCUAAACAUAUGUUGUUGUUCAACUUUUAAGAAGAGCUAAAGAUCAAGGAAUUAGCAUGAAAAAUGUUCUAAAUUACGUCAUGACUGAAGAUUUUGCAAAUUUUCUCCCCUCUGAAGUUUACAAAAUGAUGUUUGCUAUUGUCACUUUGGAUUCUGCUGAAAUUGCAGGAUAUGUUUUGCACCAUUGCUGCUGCAGAGAAGAGCUCUGGAAGAGCUGUGCCAUGGCAGAUGUCUGAAGGAGAGAUUCCAUAUGGUUAGCUGUUGAUCAGUUUGGCUGCUGGACUGACGGAAGCAUGACAGGCCAUUCUCAAGUUCUUGCAUGAUGUGGCUGUUCUCCAGAGGCCCUCUGGCUGCCUCUGGAUGUGACACCAGCUUUAACUGAAGAAGCCCAACACUUUAGCAAAAAUGUGAGCCUCAGCUGGAAACUUGGCAAGAGAGUUCAAAACUGCUUCUUAAGCUAAGGCUGAGGUGAUUGUUAAACAAAAAGUAGCCUAACAGACAUUUUUUCAUGACUUUUUAUCUUGCAGAGGCUGGCAGAAAGAUUGCAGAAAGAGGAUAGCCUAGGAAGUUGAACUCAAAGCCAAUUUGAAGUCUAAAAUAAUUUGAUGUAUAUAUGGAAUGCAUAUAUAUGCCCAUGCAUAUUUAUAUGUCUGUUGAUGCUUAGCAUUUAAAUUUUUUUUUGGAGGAGGGUUUAUGACAUAGAACCUUUUAAUAGAAAGUGUUUAAUCAUG